RNAcentral lists this ribosomal RNA (374 nucleotides) under uncultured organism. Its description in RNAcentral is "partial 16S ribosomal RNA". It matches the Rfam family "Bacterial small subunit ribosomal RNA", at positions 527 to 896 of the family's 1533-position model. The record is from RNAcentral.
GUAGGUGGCAAGCGUUGUCCGGAAUUAUUGGGCGUAAAGCGCGCGCAGGCGGUCCUUUAAGUCUGAUGUGAAAGCCCACGGCUCAACCGUGGAGGGUCAUUGGAAACUGGGGGACUUGAGUACAGAAGAGGAAAGCGGAAUUCCAAGUGUAGCGGUGAAAUGCGUAGAGAUUUGGAGGAACACCAGUGGCGAAGGCGGCUUUCUGGUCUGUAACUGACGCUGAGGCGCGAAAGCGUGGGGAGCAAACAGGAUUAGAUACCCUGGUAGUCCACGCCGUAAACGAUGAGUGCUAAGUGUUAGGGGGUUUCCCGCCCCCCUUAGUGCUGCAGCUAACGCAUUAAGCACUCCGCCUGGGGAGUACGGCCGCAAGGCGG